AGCUUUGCACAGUGGCAGUAUCAUAGCCAAUGAAGUUUAUCUGAUGUGUGAUUAUUGCUAAUUGAAAACAAAGGUUGAUUGUGAAUAUAAUAUGACAUGAUCGAAUGAAAGACCUAAAACUUUGAGUGGU
This 130-nucleotide small nuclear RNA is filed under the name Suricata suricatta (meerkat). RNAcentral describes it as "U4 spliceosomal RNA (ENSSSUG00005009247.1)". The stretch from base 1 to 80 matches the Rfam family "U4 spliceosomal RNA". From Rfam's summary of the family: U4 small nuclear RNA (U4 snRNA) is a component of the major U2-dependent spliceosome. The structure of U4 snRNA from yeast and human has been reported. The record is from RNAcentral. Lineage: Eukaryota; Metazoa; Chordata; Mammalia; Carnivora; Herpestidae.